This 487-nucleotide ribosomal RNA is filed under the name uncultured bacterium. RNAcentral's name for it is "bacterial SSU rRNA". It matches the Rfam family "Bacterial small subunit ribosomal RNA", at positions 28 to 526 of the family's 1533-position model. The record is from RNAcentral.
GACGAACGCUGGCGGCGCGCCUAACACAUGCAAGUCGAACGGAAAUGUAGAGAGCUUGCUCUUUACAUUUUAGUGGCGGACGGGUGAGUAACGCGUGAGUAACCUGCCUUUUUGAGGGGGAUAACGUUUGGAAACGAACGCUAAUACCGCAUAAUAUAUUUAAACGGCAUCGUUUGAAUAUCAAAGGAGUAAUCCGCAAAGAGAUGGACUCGCGUCCAAUUAGCUAGUUGGAGGGGUAAAGGCCCACCAAGGCUUCGAUUGGUAGCCGGACUGAGAGGUUGAACGGCCACAUUGGGACUGAGACACGGCCCAGACUCCUACGGGAGGCAGCAGUGGGGAAUAUUGCACAAUGGGGGAAACCCUGAUGCAGCGACGCCGCGUGAGGGAAGAAGGUUUUCGGAUUGUAAACCUCUGUCUUUGGUGAAGAUAAUGACGGUAGCCAAAGAGGAAGCCACGGCUAACUACGUGCCAGCAGCCGCGGUAAUAC